Pollicipes pollicipes is the source of this 376-nucleotide long non-coding RNA. RefSeq lists it as uncharacterized. Lineage: Eukaryota; Metazoa; Arthropoda; Thecostraca; Pollicipedomorpha; Pollicipedidae. The record is from RefSeq and is a predicted model, not a curated record. The transcript is spliced from 4 exons.
UCGGUCGUGUGACGGUGCCAUCCAGCUGGCGAACGCUGGUGUGACUGUGCAGGGAGCACGUUGCCUCUGGUGACGUCCAGCUGGGCGCGAGACCUCGCUGCUGGUAGCGGAGCGACGUCGGGGAGACGCGCUUCGGGAGGCGCGCGGGCGCGGCGCGUGCCCGUUGCAUCGGUUGCAAGAGAUGCGUCCGUCCCGAGCAGCCAUCCCUUAGAUCGGUGCGAGGAUGAUAUGCGUUAUUAGCUGAUAUAAGCGAUAUUUACGAAGUUCGUCGUGCCGUAUCCAGUAUGAUGCCCACGCACUCGGACGACGAUCUCAUGUGCUGGCUGACCAACCAGCUGGUGUGCCAAGUGGACGCCAAGCAGCAGCCGCCGCCGCC